AAACCUGAGAAAUAGUAUUUUUCUUCUCUGGUUCUAUCAUUGAAGAGGUUGGAUUAUACUGUGUCUUUUCUCAUAUCCAAUUCAACCCCAUCUCAAUACUGAGGUAAGUUUCAGUUUACUCCUGUUUUCUUUUGUGCUCACAUGUUGUUUAAAUGUUCUAAAAUAGAAAAAAUGAGAUAACAACUGACUGGUAAGUACAUAUUAUGUUUUGUUGAAAACUAUAAUUUGUAUAUAAUGCUGAAACCUUGCUAGAUUUCAUUGCCUACAUGAGCAGUUAGUAGGAACCUGUUGUGUACUUUUGAGAACUUUUUGGAUGUAAUUCACAGCACCAGCUUAAUGCUGAUACAUGAGCAGUUAGCUGAUACUUUUUGGAUGUGACUGUUCAUGCUCAAUGUUAUCCAUGUUAUCCAUUUGUAGCCGAAACCCAUUCUUCCAAACAUAGAUAAGAUAAUUUCUUGAUGUCCAAUUCACACAAUAAUCUUGGUUCUCCUUUCCUGAAUCUCGAGUUAGACGUUUCAUUUGCUAUAAAGGAUGCAUCUAGAAUAUGUCCUUCAAUAAAAGCAUUCUGGGAUGUGGAGAUGAGCUUACCAGUUUCGACCUUCCAUCUAGCUCUUUGGAUAUUAUUUUAUAAACGUUCCCCAGUAUACUAUUGAGUGUAUAUCCUUAGCACCAUUCUUCUUUUGUAUGAGUACAAUAAAGGAAGCUUUGGAAGUUUUUCCAAGAAUCUUUUGUGUCAGAUUUAUUGCUGUAAAUGAGGGUUCUCCACUCUACUGAAAGUAUGUAUUUCUAGGCGUACCAGUUUAUAGGUUUAGUUAUUAAUGAAAGUUUAGUUUGUUAGGGGAAGUCAAAUUAAUGGUGAUUCAUAAGAAGUUAAAGAUGAGUUGUCGGAGAUUGAAAUAGGGCCUUCCUUUUGUCAUCCUCUCUUUUUUCAUAUUUGUUCUUGGAGGUUCCUAAACUAGACUGUAUUCUCUGUAUAGCUUGUUUGGUAUCGCUACUAAUUUAUCAAUAUCAUCCUUUUGUAUUCUGUUUAUUUGUGCUUGGUUCCAUAUCAAACAUAGCUUCUAUAGUAGUUGUUUUAUAUGCUAGAUAUUAAUAAGACUUGUAAAGUGUAAACUAGAUACCCCUGUAAAAAAAACUAGUGUAAGCAUGAUACUAGUCAAUAUAUGUAUUGACCCAACUGGUUCUUUUGUCUUUCUUAGAUGAUACCAUUCAUUUUUGUGCUGAGAGAAUUAUCGGCUUGUCCCCUGGGUCUGAUCUCCCUGGAAACAGAGGAAAUGCGGUAACAACAACAACAUACCCAGUAUAUUCCCAUAUUUGGGGUCUGGGGAUAGUGUGUACGCAGACCUUACCCCUACCUAGUGAAGGUAGAGACGUUGUUUCCAAUAGAAAGGUGGUAAGUUUUCUCAUAAUUGGUGCUUAACAUUGGGUUGGAAAUGUUGCAUUUGGGUUUGAUGUCUUCUUAUUGAAAAGAAAAGGUAUACAGAUCAUGCUAAUAUCAAAAGAAAAAGACUAAAUUGAUGCUUCUUUGUGGCAAGGAUAUACUAAAGGCUAAUAAACCAGUCUUGGUUUUAGAAAUUGUGCUAGUCAUCCCCUUGUCAGCUAAUCAUGUCUAAUGCGCAAGUUUUCUCUUCUAAAGAAGUGAUAAAAAUGCAUGUUACUUCCUUAAAGUUCUAUGAACACAUUAAUAUUAAGGCAUAAAGUCGUAAAACAUGGGAUUAAUACAUACUUUACUCCCCAAACUUGGACAAAAAUCCUUUACUUUUCUUUGUGUCUAUUUUCCGUAGCAAAAGCCCCACGAAAAUGCCAUGUGGCAUGUGCGUCACUGCAUCACUUACCAGCCCAAGCAAAGCGUGCAAGGGUUAAAAAUCUGUCAAAAUCCCAUUUUUUAAAAGAUUUUUCAGCUUGUUUUCUUCUUUUUAGAUGCUACCUCUUUUUUGACACUUCUUUUUUCUUUUUUUGCCUUAUUGUAUAUUCUUUUCCUUUUCUUUAUUUUCUCUUUCCUUCUUUCUUUUUCUACUCCAAUUGUUCUUAUCCUCUGAACUCUCCGAUAUACUGUUGCUCCAGUAAGCAGCCAACUAUAGGGUGCACACUUUACUGUUAGCCACAUGAGCUCAACCAUGUUGAACGCAGCAACUAGAGGUGCAUGCUCUACUGUUAGCCACAUGAACUCAACCACGGUCCAGUUAAGCAGAAGCUCUCUUGGUCACUUGAUUGCCGAUAUUUCUCAGAGGGAAGUUAGGAAGAAGGAACGAGAAAGCAGGGAAAAGAUACAAAAGAUAAGGAUAAUGAAAUAGAUCCUUUGUUUCUCAUGCAUAUUUUGCAUUCUUUUUGGUUUUAAAUCUGUUAAUGGGAAAAUGGGUUUGUUACCGGCAAAGUUUGUCGAGCAAAAGUGAAGGUAGAAGGCCCACAGGGUUAUGGGAAUGAAAAUAGAGAAAGAUUUCUACAGAGACUGCCAAGAUUUGGUCCAGCCAGAAUUUCAACCAAGAAAAUGACAAUGGGAAAAGGGGUUUUCGCCGGUAAAUUUGGCUUGGAAAAAUGGUUGAAAGCUAGCAAGGAUGGACCUUUUUUCAUUUUUUUCCCAUGACGUGUCAUGAGUGGUGCGUAUCAUGUGCUUCCAAGAGGGAGUGGUCGUAUGUCAUCCAGGAGGGUCUUAGACAUGGAUUUUGCAGAAUUAAGAAGGAUGCCACGAAGAAAAGGUGUGUAAAUGGGAUUUCUGUGCAAGUUGGAGGACUAAGAGCCCAUUUGGAUUGGUUUUAAAAAAGUGGCUUUUAAGUAUAAGUGCUUAAAAGUACUUUUAAGUGCUGGAGUUUGUUUUAUAAAUAAGCAGUUAAGUGUUUGGAUAAAAGUGCUGAAACUUAAAAAAAGUUGUUGAAGUGUUUGGUAAAUAAGUGCUGGUAAGCACUUGUUUCUGUUAAAAUGACUGAAAUAUCCUUAAAGUUGUUAACACUAUAAAGAAAAUAAUUACGAUAAUAUUUUAUUCUAAAUUAAUACAUAUACAAAAAAAUUAUAAUUUAGUUCAUUUUCAAUUUAAAACUGAUUGCCUAAAUAUAAAUUAUUUAUUUAAAUAACAUGCAAUAAUCUAUUAUUUCACCAAAAAAUAUUUUUUCGGCUCAUAGCUUCAAAUUCUUUGUUAAUAGAUAGACUCAUUGAAAAUUUUGAUUUAGAAUAUAGUUUCUCCAAUUUAAAAAAAUGAGGGAUUCAACAGCAAUUUUUUUUUAAAAAAAAUGUUAUGGAACCAAAAAAGAAACUAAAACAAAAUAAUGUAUAUAAAAUAUUAAAUGCAUCAAACAUUUACAAAGCUACAGUUGGCUUUACGUUUACAACUUCAAACAAAUUGAUAAAAUUUUGGGGAAUGGCAGCAGAGAUGACACGGGAUUUAUUAAUUAGUAAGGGAAGGAUAGUUUUGGAUUUAGAAAAAGUAAAAGGGAUAAUAACUCUACAAAGAACAAAACACUAUUUUUCACUCUCAUGAAUCCAAAACCAAAAGAGUUCGGCAGUGAUGGAAUUUGGAAGGCACACAUUGGAAAUGACAAAGGAAAGGAGAAAAAGAAAAGAUUAUGGAAUUUGGAAGGCAGAGAUUGAAAAUGGCGGAGGAAAGGAGAAAAAGAAAAGAUUGGGGUAUUUUGAAAAUUAUACAUAAGUAUCAGGGAUAGCAAUAUAAAAUACUUGGUCAAAGAGGGAUGACUUUUAAGCUAGAAAAAAAAAGUUGGGAUUACCCAACUUAUCACUUUUGGCUUAAUUUGGAUCUUUUGGCUUAAAAGCAUUUGACCUUUAAGCAGAUUUUAAGUUUGCCAAACACCUCAAUAAGCUAAAAAAUGACUUAAAAGCUGGUUUGACCAGCUUUUAAGCCCAUCCAAACAGGCUCUAAUUUAUGCAUUAAGCCUAACUUGAUUUUCUUGUGGGAAACUAGGACUUUACCUUACCAAUGAAAGAAAAAAAAUCUUGAAUUUUCAUUUAGUAAGGCUUAAAUAAUUGGAAUAUUUUUCUCUUUAAAUAUUUAAGUGAGAUAAGAUGAUGAUUAUUUUAUUUUAUUAUUAAAUGUUGUAUCAUUCAUACUUUUGAGUCUGUAUAAAAAUGGUAUGAAAGGAAAUUAUUUUUCCUCCUUUUUCUGUGUGGUCGGCGGAGAUCAGCAUAAACCCAAAAGUAUGAAGAUGUAGAAGCCCACACAGAAAUGCUAGAUAUUUUGGAAAUAAAAGUUAAUUAUUUAUUUUUUUCGUUUUUGGAUAACUGCAAUAUAGAGGGAACAUUAUGACCAAUCGAUGUUUCAUGUGUCAGAAAAAGACAAUAAAUAUCUUUUCUGCAUUGUACAGUGGACAAAAGUGUUGGAGAACUACACCAUACUCAAAUUCGAGUUCAAAUUGAAAGCGAAAUGGUAGAUGCCCUGAGGAUGAAUCUGAAGCCAUUCAGUGAGAUGCAUUGUCGGAGAUGUCUCUCUUCCUUCUUUUUCCCUUCGUCUUUGGUGCAUGAGAGUCUAUGUUACUCAGAUGCGAGUACUCAAUACGAGUGCGGAUAGAGGUUGGAUUCUUCAUCACACAAGUUUUUGGAUUUGGGGUUAUGGAUCUGAGUACAAAUACAGGUGGGAUACUGUCAAUAAAUGUACAUUGAAGCAUAUAUAAGUAUAUAAAAUGAUUAGUAAACCUUAUUGAGCUAAAACUAAUAAAAUAUAAUUCUUAAGAAAUACAUAAUUUUUUAUUCAUAAGAUUUCUCGUGUAAUAGUUAUGCGUUCUCAUACUUUAUAUAACUAUCUACAUAUGAUAUAAACCCAAAACUCAAACCAAGUAGAUGUAGUCAAAGCAUCCAAGGUAAGUUGACCAAAUCCAAUGUGGACCCCUCCUCCUCCACUCACACUCAAAUCAUGUCGGAUCGACAUGGGUGCGGAAGGGAUUUGAAGGGCCCGAGCAACAUAUGUGAGAAUGGAGAGUAACAGGAAUUUUUGAGGGCCCUUCCUAGGAGCUUCUUUGGAGGGUUUGUAGGCUUUUCUUAACGUUAGCUUUAACAUAACUACAAUGGGAUUAGACUAGAGAGCCUCUAUGGUUCUAUUUCCUUCUUAAUUCUCUUAUAUGUUAAUCUGGGAACAUAUUUUUUUGUUUGUUGGUAAUGCGGGGAUGUAUUGUCUUACCUUAUCGCAUCUCUCUUUUCCAUAUCUAUCAAUAAAAUCUUUCCUCCAAGAACUAGCACUGUAAUCUGUUGUUAGUAAGGCUCCAAGUUAAUAAAUCAGCUAAAACCAUAAUAGUAUUAUGCUUUUGAUUUUUCAAUUGGCUUUUCAACUUCUAUUAACUCUACUGUUGUGUGGGCCUGACUUAGCUUAUUCUCUUGUUUUUGGUGAAACUCUUGUUUUUGGUGAACUAUAAUGUCAAGCGCUUAUCCAGGAGCACACCCAUGAUUUUUUCUGGAGCUCAAUACUUGCUUGAUUGUGGAGACCUGGAGAAAUAUCAAGUAUCACUGUAAGUGGUGGAUCUUGAGGAAUUUCUACAACAAUGUGAGUGUCAAGGUAACAGCAAAUUUCCUACCUUAUUUUAUUUUUAAGCUAUGAAUGAAGCUAUAUUGGCUGUUGAUGCUACAUUUUCUUAUUCCAGUUUUCAUGGACCAGAUAUAUCAUAAUAUCACCACGAGACGGCAGGGCCAAGAUAUUUUACAGUGUCAUGGUCCAAGCAUGAAGUUGUUGAAGUCAUUCAUUCAGAGUCCUAGGUUUUAGCUCAAUCUUCACAAAAUGAACUGAGCAAGAGGGAGAACUGACCAAGAGGGAGGUUAAGGGGACUCUGUCCUGAAGACUGAGGGGGCUAACAUGAAGUAGUGGUCUCUUUUUUAUAUUAGUUAUACAAAGAUUAUCGAGGACCACAGUUCAAAUUUCAGUGUAUUCAAAAAGCACUAGGUGAUUUCUUCCCAACUAUCUUAACCUUGUUGGAUAGAGUUAAACGAGUACGGCCAGAGAUAGCAGGAAUUCAGUGGUUAGUCGAGGACACCAGCUAUCAAGAAAAGUUGCAGUGAGAUAUUGUUGGAAAAUUCCCUAGUAUAAUAAUUACGAUUUCAAUUUGGAUUUUUGGCCUAUUUCUAUAACGUCAUUUUUUUCUAAACUCAAGGUAUUAUGCUUAUGAGGAUCUGAUUCAUCAAUGUACUUUUAAAAAAAAGAAGCACGAAUCUGAUUUAUCAAUGUAAUUGCUUUGGUAUGGCUAAUAUUUAGUUGGCCGAGUGUGUUAGCUUCUGAUUUGAGGCUAUGCCAACGUUUUCAUUUGUUCUUCUAGACAUCACUGUAUGUUAUCAAGGGGAACAAGGAUGGAUUGGGGUUUUGGGUAAACAGGUGAAGGGGGAAAGAAGUAGAUUCUUUGCAUUGGACAGUUAGAAGCUGUAAACUGAUAUGGAAUCAGUUGUGACCUAGUUUGAUCCGAGUUUCUGUUUUGCAUCUACUCGUUUUAUGUUUACCAAUUUCUUGGUUUGUGAAUCAUUCAGAGUCAGAACCCUCUAUAUUGUACUGUUCUUUCUGGAUUAAGUUUUCCUGUUAUUAAUAUUGAAG
Molecule: long non-coding RNA, 6511 nt
Filed under: Nicotiana tabacum (common tobacco)
Lineage: Eukaryota; Viridiplantae; Streptophyta; Magnoliopsida; Solanales; Solanaceae
Description: long non-coding RNA (NTAB_LNC002843)
Source: RNAcentral